This 33-nucleotide ribosomal RNA is filed under the name Vitekorchis excavata. RNAcentral's name for it is "partial 18S ribosomal RNA". The record is from RNAcentral. Lineage: Eukaryota; Viridiplantae; Streptophyta; Magnoliopsida; Asparagales; Orchidaceae.
GUUUACGUAGGUGAACCUGAGGAAGGAUCAUUG